GUUGCCAGAUUCAGAAUUCCAGCAAGUAUUGUAUUUGGUGGCCUCGAACUUCCACAGAGCGAUAUCAAUGGUGAUACACCUCUCACGCUCAGCCUUGAGCUUGUCGAGCACCCAGGCGUACUCGAAUGACCUCUUGUUCAUCUCAGUGGCUUCCUUCUCGAACCUCUUGAUCACACACUUGUCAAUGCCUCCAAGCUUGUAGAUGAGGUGGCCAGUCGUGGUUGA
Molecule: ribosomal RNA, 225 nt
Filed under: Triticum aestivum (bread wheat)
Lineage: Eukaryota; Viridiplantae; Streptophyta; Magnoliopsida; Poales; Poaceae
Description: partial small subunit ribosomal RNA
Source: RNAcentral